UCCGCAGUCCCCGUUCACAACGUCGACACUCCAGCAGGAAGCCAGCCGCAAGCUCGGUUUCGCGCCAGCCCACACCAUGCGCAUUGCCCAGCGCCUUUAUGAAGGUAUCGACAUCGGCGGGGGGNNNNNNNNNNNNUAUAUGCGUACCGACGGUGUGCAGAUCGACCCGUCCGCCAUCACGCAGGCGCGCAAGGUCAUCGGCGAGGACUACGGCAAAGCCUAUGUGCCGGACUCGCCGCGCCAGUACA
RNAcentral lists this unclassified non-coding RNA (248 nucleotides) under Hevea brasiliensis (rubber tree). Lineage: Eukaryota; Viridiplantae; Streptophyta; Magnoliopsida; Malpighiales; Euphorbiaceae. The record is from RNAcentral.